Molecule: ribosomal RNA, 253 nt
Filed under: uncultured bacterium
Lineage: Bacteria
Description: partial 16S ribosomal RNA
Rfam family: Bacterial small subunit ribosomal RNA
Source: RNAcentral
UACAGAGGUCUCAAGCGUUGUUCGGAUUCAUUGGGCGUAAAGGGUGUGUAGGUGGCGCGCUAAGUCGGGUGUGAAAUUUCGGAGCUUAACUCUGAAACUGCAUUCGAUACUGGCGUGCUUGAGGACUGGAGAGGAGACUGGAAUUCAUGGUGUAGCAGUGAAAUGCGUAGAGAUCAUGAGGAAGACCAGUGGCGAAGGCGGGUCUCUGGACAGUUCCUGACACUGAGACACGAAGGCCAGGGGAGCAAACGGG